RNAcentral lists this ribosomal RNA (461 nucleotides) under uncultured Pseudomonadota bacterium. RNAcentral's name for it is "bacterial SSU rRNA". It matches the Rfam family "Bacterial small subunit ribosomal RNA", at positions 29 to 505 of the family's 1533-position model. Lineage: Bacteria; Pseudomonadati; Pseudomonadota. The record is from RNAcentral.
AAUGAACGCUGGCGGCGUGCCUCAGACAUGCAAGUCGAACGAGAAAGCUUCUUCGGAAGUGAUUAGAGUGGCGCACGGGUGAGUAAUACUUGGGUAACGUACCAUGAUGCUGGGGAUAACCAGAGGAAACUCUGGCUAAUACCGAAUAGUCCAACUAUUUCGCAUGAAAGAGUUGGUAAAGCCGUAAGGCGCGUUGUGAUCGGCCCAAGUCCCAUUAGUUUGUUGGUAGGGUAAUGGCCUACCAAGGCUACGAUGGGUAGCUGGUUUGAGAGGAUGAUCAGCCACACUGGUACUGGAACACGGACCAGACUCCUACGGGAGGCAGCAGUUAGGAAUAUUGCGCAAUGGGGGAAACCCUGACGCAGCAACGUCGCGUGAGCGAAGAAGGCCUUCGGGUUGUAAAGCUCUUUCAGCAGGGAAGAUAAUGACGUUACCUGCAUAAGAAGCACCGGCUAACUCCG